RNAcentral lists this ribosomal RNA (717 nucleotides) under uncultured beta proteobacterium. Its description in RNAcentral is "bacterial SSU rRNA". It matches the Rfam family "Bacterial small subunit ribosomal RNA", at positions 55 to 769 of the family's 1533-position model. Lineage: Bacteria; Pseudomonadati; Pseudomonadota; Betaproteobacteria. The record is from RNAcentral.
AUGCAAGUUGAACGGUAGAGGGGGCAACCCCUUGAGAGUGGCGAACGGGUGAGUAAUAUAUCGGAACGUGCCCAGUCGUGGGGGAUAACGUAGCGAAAGUUACGCUAAUACCGCAUACGAUCCAAGGAUGAAAGCGGGGGACUCGCAAGAGCCUCGCGCGAUUGGAGCGGCCGAUAUCAGAUUAGGUAGUUGGUGGGGUAAAGGCUCACCAAGCCAACGAUCUGUAGCUGGUCUGAGAGGACGACCAGCCACACUGGAACUGAGACACGGUCCAGACUCCUACGGGAGGCAGCAGUGGGGAAUUUUGGACAAUGGACGCAAGUCUGAUCCAGCCAUUCCGCGUGCAGGAUGAAGGCCCUCGGGUUGUAAACUGCUUUUGUACGGAACGAAAAGGUUUCUAUUAAUACUAGGAGCUCAUGACGGUACCGUAAGAAUAAGCACCGGCUAACUACGUGCCAGCAGCCGCGGUAAUACGUAGGGUGCAAGCGUUAAUCGGAAUUACUGGGCGUAAAGCGUGCGCAGGCGGUUAUAUAAGACAGAUGUGAAAUCCCCGGGCUCAACCUGGGAACUGCAUUUGUGACUGUAUAGCUAGAGUACGGUAGAGGGGGAUGGAAUUCCGCGUGUAGCAGUGAAAUGCGUAGAUAUGCGGAGGAACACCGAUGGCGAAGGCAAUCCCCUGGACCUGUACUGACGCUCAUGCACGAAAGCGUGGGGAGC